This 1369-nucleotide ribosomal RNA is filed under the name uncultured bacterium. RNAcentral's name for it is "bacterial SSU rRNA". It matches the Rfam family "Bacterial small subunit ribosomal RNA", at positions 28 to 1381 of the family's 1533-position model. The record is from RNAcentral.
GACGAACGCUGUCGGCGUGCCUAAUACAUGCAAGUAGAACGCUGAAGAGAGGAGCUUGCUCUUCUUGGAUGAGUUGCGAACGGGUGAGUAACGCGUAGGUAACCUGCCUGGUAGCGGGGGAUAACUAUUGGAAACGAUAGCUAAUACCGCAUAAAAUUGAUUAUUGCAUGAUAAUUAAUUGAAAGAUGCAAUUGCAUCACUACCAGAUGGACCUGCGUUGUAUUAGCUAGUUGGUGAGGUAACGGCUCACCAAGGCGACGAUACAUAGCCGACCUGAGAGGGUGAUCGGCCACACUGGGACUGAGACACGGCCCAGACUCCUACGGGAGGCAGCAGUAGGGAAUCUUCGGCAAUGGGGGGAACCCUGACCGAGCAACGCCGCGUGAGUGAAGAAGGUUUUCGGAUCGUAAAGCUCUGUUGUAAGAGAAGAACGGGUGUGAGAGUGGAAAGUUCACACUGUGACGGUAUCUUACCAGAAAGGGACGGCUAACUACGUGCCAGCAGCCGCGGUAAUACGUAGGUCCCGAGCGUUGUCCGGAUUUAUUGGGCGUAAAGCGAGCGCAGGCGGUUAGAUAAGUCUGAAGUUAGAGGCUGUGGCUUAACCAUAGUAUGCUUUGGAAACUGUUUAACUUGAGUGCAGAAGGGGAGAGUGGAAUUCCAUGUGUAGCGGUGAAAUGCGUAGAUAUAUGGAGGAACACCGGUGGCGAAAGCGGCUCUCUGGUCUGUAACUGACGCUGAGGCUCGAAAGCGUGGGGAGCAAACAGGAUUAGAUACCCUGGUAGUCCACGCCGUAAACGAUGAGUGCUAGGUGUUAGGCCCUUUCCGGGGCUUAGUGCCGCAGCUAACGCAUUAAGCACUCCGCCUGGGGAGUACGACCGCAAGGUUGAAACUCAAAGGAAUUGACGGGGGCCCGCACAAGCGGUGGCGCAUGUGGUUUAAUUCGAAGCAACGCGAAGAACCUUACCAGGUCUUGACAUCCCUCUGACCGCUCUAGAGAUAGAGUUUUCCUUCGGGACAGAGGUGACAGGUGGUGCAUGGUUGUCGUCAGCUCGUGUCGUGAGAUGUUGGGUUAAGUCCCGCAACGAGCGCAACCCCUAUUGUUAGUUGCCAUCAUUCAGUUGGGCACUCUAGCGAGACUGCCGGUAAUAAACCGGAGGAAGGUGGGGAUGACGUCAAAUCAUCAUGCCCCUUAUGACCUGGGCUACACACGUGCUACAAUGGCUGGUACAACGAGUCGCAAGCCGGUGACGGCAAGCUAAUCUCUGAAAGCCAGUCUCAGUUCGGAUUGUAGGCUGCAACUCGCCUACAUGAAGUCGGAAUCGCUAGUAAUCGCGGAUCAGCACGCCGCGGUGAAUACGUUCCCGGGCCU